Gasterosteus aculeatus aculeatus (three-spined stickleback) is the source of this 1829-nucleotide long non-coding RNA. The record is from Ensembl. NCBI's taxonomy places the organism in Eukaryota, Metazoa, Chordata, Actinopteri, Perciformes, Gasterosteidae.
ACACACACACACUCACACCACGCCCUCCUUGUGGAAUUCAACUGUAGGUUUUUUGAAUUUUCUGCAAACGUCUAUAAAUAGUCCUGUUUAGCUGUUCUAAUGUUAGUUGUGUGUGUGUGUGUGUGUGUGUGUGUGGCCGACCCGUCGCGAGGAAACGAAAGUAACGAGAUGCUAUGUAGAAGUGAGAUGGGGUGAACGGAGGGCAUGUGACGUGUUGAGAGGACACAUGUGACGAGAAGGAAAAAAAUAGAUUAAGUCAAAGCGUUUCCUCUUUUCAUCGAUGGAUGUGUUGAAAGGACAGACCGUCCACCGUAGCUGGUGGAGGGACUGACGGUGGUAGUGUGGGACCACACAGGCCAUUUUUCUGCUGUCACUGAUCUCAGCCCAUUGCGUGUUGGCCGUCAAAGGAGCCCUGCUCGGGCAGCUUCCCUCGUCUCCCCAUCGCGCCUGCCUUCCAACCAUCUUGUCCCUCGUCCUUCUUCUCCGCUGCUUCACAGCAGCUAAUACCGAUUAAGCACAAGACAACCACACCAGCAGGCUUCCAGUUACAUUUCCUUUACCGCUCCCUGAACCGCGCUUUCUCUCUCGCUCGCUCUCUCUCUCUCGCUCUCUCUCUCUGGAUCUUGUUCCCACCCUCCUUUUCCUCCAUGAAGCGCUCGCUGUAAUACCCAGUCACUCUCGCAGACACAGAGGGGGAGAGAGACAGAAACUGAAUACCGGACUUGCCGACCGGAGAAGGAGUUUUUUUUUUUCUUCUUUGAAGAAAAGGAGCUUGAAAAGAGACAUUAUCUCUCUCUCUUCGUUUUGUCUGGCCACGUCCUCCCCUCCUCUGUCCCUCUGCUGGGCCGACCGGCGCAGACACACACACAGAGGACUGCGGCAGCCUCGGCCAUCACGGUCAGCUGGGUGAGUUCUUCCCUUCUCUCCUUCCUCGCAUCUUGGCUCAUCGCCCUGCCGACCUCCUUUUCUUCCUCCUCCUCCUCCUUCAUCUCACAGGCAAUCAGAUCUCAUUUUGUCUUCCUCACGAACAGGCUUAGCCUCCAUGCAGCCCCGAGCCGCGUGAUUGACAGGUGCGGUCCCAGAGGACCGACCAGCCUGCCGCUGUCAGGAGAUGUGAUUGCUCAUAGGGAGAAUAUAAGUUGUAAGGAGCUUUUGGUAUUUUUUUAACGACGGAGGGCAAUUUUAAUCCGGCUGUGCCGCUCUGCUCGCCGUCUGACUGGCAGCACUGCGCAUGUGCAUGGUGCAGCAUUUUGUGUUUUUUUUUUUAAUGUUUUUUUUAAGUGGAGAAUGAAAUGUGUUGUGCUAUUGAUAAUCAUGCUCCGAUUUGGCCGAGCAAGGCCGCGAAAUACGCCACGACAGAGCCACUCUCCUGAGCAUCAUGCAAUGAUCAAAUGCCAUCCCCCUUGUUGUGUGUGUGUGUGUGUGUGUGUGUGUAUGUGUGUGUGUGUGAGCCCAUCCAGGCGUGACUACAGCACACGUGCGUUCACUUGAAAUAAGAUGACUUGUGGUUAAUGUUUGUAUUAACAGCGCGUGCGAUGUGAUUCACGGUACGUAUCGGUAUCCGCCUACCCGCAGAAUACCACAAUGCUUAUUGUCACACAACAUGAAAAUGCGAUGCAUGAAGUAAAGCAUGUACGGCAGGUGCGCGCGGAUCUGACCCACCAAGACCAGCGAGUGAACUUAUGGCUAAAGUGAGUCUUAGGUCUUAGGCGCAGCACAAAUCCAUGGAGAGAGGUAGCUGCCAUUGUCUGCUCGAGUCUCAGCCAUGCGGCACAUUAUGCACUCUGUGUGGCAUAUAGCAUGGACCAGACCACAAAAGCAAUCGGUAC